This 1020-nucleotide ribosomal RNA is filed under the name Staphylococcus aureus. RNAcentral's name for it is "partial 23S ribosomal RNA". It matches the Rfam family "Bacterial large subunit ribosomal RNA", at positions 364 to 1392 of the family's 2925-position model. The record is from RNAcentral. Lineage: Bacteria; Bacillati; Bacillota; Bacilli; Caryophanales; Staphylococcaceae.
GUAAUAAUCCUGUAGUCGAAAAUGUUGUCUCUCUUGAGUGGAUCCUGAGUACGACGGAGCACGUGAAAUUCCGUCGGAAUCUGGGAGGACCAUCUCCUAAGGCUAAAUACUCUCUAGUGACCGAUAGUGAACCAGUACCGUGAGGGAAAGGUGAAAAGCACCCCGGAAGGGGAGUGAAAUAGAACCUGAAACCGUGUGCUUACAAGUAGUCAGAGCCCGUUAAUGGGUGAUGGCGUGCCUUUUGUAGAAUGAACCGGCGAGUUACGAUUUGAUGCAAGGUUAAGCAGUAAAUGUGGAGCCGUAGCGAAAGCGAGUCUGAAUAGGGCGUUUAGUAUUUGGUCGUAGACCCGAAACCAGGUGAUCUACCCUUGGUCAGGUUGAAGUUCAGGUAACACUGAAUGGAGGACCGAACCGACUUACGUUGAAAAGUGAGCGGAUGAACUGAGGGUAGCGGAGAAAUUCCAAUCGAACCUGGAGAUAGCUGGUUCUCUCCGAAAUAGCUUUAGGGCUAGCCUCAAGUGAUGAUUAUUGGAGGUAGAGCACUGUUUGGACGAGGGGCCCCUCUCGGGUUACCGAAUUCAGACAAACUCCGAAUGCCAAUUAAUUUAACUUGGGAGUCAGAACAUGGGUGAUAAGGUCCGUGUUCGAAAGGGAAACAGCCCAGACCACCAGCUAAGGUCCCAAAAUAUAUGUUAAGUGGAAAAGGAUGUGGCGUUGCCCAGACAACUAGGAUGUUGGCUUAGAAGCAGCCAUCAUUUAAAGAGUGCGUAAUAGCUCACUAGUCGAGUGACACUGCGCCGAAAAUGUACCGGGGCUAAACAUAUUACCGAAGCUGUGGAUUGUCCUUUGGACAAUGGUAGGAGAGCGUUCUAAGGGCGUUGAAGCAUGAUCGUAAGGACAUGUGGAGCGCUUAGAAGUGAGAAUGCCGGUGUGAGUAGCGAAAGACGGGUGAGAAUCCCGUCCACCGAUUGACUAAGGUUUCCAGAGGAAGGCUCGUCCGCUCUGGGUUAGUCGGGUCCU